GAAAUAGGAAAAUCGGGGGAAAGCUUCUAACUUUUACCCCUAGCAGUGAAAUUCUGUUAAUAUUUCU
RNAcentral lists this transfer RNA (67 nucleotides) under Drilus flavescens. Its description in RNAcentral is "tRNA-Ser". Lineage: Eukaryota; Metazoa; Arthropoda; Insecta; Coleoptera; Elateridae. The record is from RNAcentral.